GAUGAACGCUGGCGGCGUGCCUAACACAUGCAAGUCGAGCGGACGGACGAGAAGCUUGCUUCUCUGAUGUUAGCCGCGGACGGGAGAGAAACGCGUGGAUCCCCUACUUAUAAGUCUGGGAUCACUUGGGGAAACCGGAGCUAAUACGAGAUAAUAUUUUGCACCGCAUGGUUCAAAAGUGAAAGACGGCCUUGCUGUCACUUCUAGAUGGUUCCGCGCUGCAUUAGCUAGUUGGUAAGGUAACGGCUUACCAAGGCAACGAUGCAUAGCCGACCUGUGAGGGUGAUCGGCCACACUGGAACUGAGACACGGUCCAGACUCCUACGGGAGGCAGCAGUAGGGAAUCUUCCGCAAUGGGCGAAAGCCUGACGGAGCAACGCCGCGUGAGUGAUGAAGGUCUUCGGAUCGUAAAACUCUGUUAUUAGGGAAGAACAGAUGUGUAAGUAACUGUACACAUCUUGACGGUACCUAAUCAAAAAGCAACGGCUAACUACGUG
RNAcentral lists this ribosomal RNA (497 nucleotides) under uncultured bacterium. RNAcentral's name for it is "partial 16S ribosomal RNA". It matches the Rfam family "Bacterial small subunit ribosomal RNA", at positions 28 to 507 of the family's 1533-position model. The record is from RNAcentral.